Molecule: ribosomal RNA, 452 nt
Filed under: Campylobacter sp. canine oral taxon 011
Lineage: Bacteria; Pseudomonadati; Campylobacterota; Epsilonproteobacteria; Campylobacterales; Campylobacteraceae
Description: bacterial SSU rRNA
Rfam family: Bacterial small subunit ribosomal RNA
Source: RNAcentral
GAGUUUGAUCCUGGCUCAGAGUGAACGCUGGCGGCGUGCCUAAUACAUGCAAGUCGAACGGAGAUUAAAGUAAGCUUGCUUAUUUUAAUCUUAGUGGCGCACGGGUGAGUAAUGUAUAGCUAAUCUGCCCUACACUAGAGGACAACAGUUGGAAACGACUGCUAAUACUCUAUACUCCUUCUUUACAUAAGUUAAGUCGGGAAAGUUUUUCGGUGUAGGAUGAGGCUAUAUCGUAUCAGCUAGUUGGUGAGGUAACGGCUCACCAAGGCUAUGACGCGUAACUGGUCUGAGAGGAUGAUCAGUCACACUGGAACUGAGACACGGUCCAGACUCCUACGGGAGGCAGCAGUAGGGAAUAUUGCUCAAUGGGGGAAACCCUGAAGCAGCAACGCCGCGUGGAGGAUGACACUUUUCGGAGCGUAAACUCCUUUUCUUGGGAAAGAAUUAUGACG